UUCAAUCAACACCCACAGAGUGGCAGCGCGCUGUACUCCUUUGCCUCUGUUUAUGCCAAGCUCCUCGCUGUCUGAAGGGAGAAAAAAGAUCAGCUGAAAUCCUUGGAGAUUCCCAACUACCUCCUUGGUGAAACUUCUUGGUGAAGAGGAAAACUCGAAGAGGGGACUGAAUUGCUGUGCACAGGGCUGGCUGUGCUCUUACUGGGAGAAGGCACAGAUUCCUAGGGAGAGGUCCCUGAAGGAGGGGCUGCUCCAGCUUCCAGUGAAGAGGUCUGGUGCUCCCUCAACUGGUGGAGGGUGAGAGCUGAGCGUGAACAAACUUGAUCGAUUCACUUCAGGAGAAGGAAGCAACUCUUGCUACUCUUAAGCAGGAAGCCCAUUAUCCAAUUAUAGACAGGCAGUGGAGGACUCCAGCAGAAAUGAUACUCCUUAAAUCGAAAUUAAUGCACCCGGCCCAUAAAUAGCAAACAGGAAAUACAACUGCUAAUUUCUUCACAGAGCGUCCCAGCUAGGCUGUAACAGGGCACUUACAAGCGAUCCCUGGUUACAUUUCAUGGCUCUGGUGUGUACUUGUCCACGCAGUUAGAGCACUCUGCUCCUAUAUUGAUCAAAGUCCCGUUCAGAGCACCUUCACUUAAAUAGUGGCCUCUUUAAAACUUUUUAAAGCUUUAACACUGUACUUAUUUUCCCGAACCCUGUCCACCAUCAAUUACCAUUGAAAAGGAUGGCAGGUGUGUCAGAAAGUACCAUUGUGCCAGAGAAGAUGUUUGACUGAAUAAUGUAAUAAUACUCAUAUCAAGACAUUUUUUCUCAAGUAAGACCUUUUACUUAUCCAUUGUGUCUUCAGUAUAUAUUAAUCUAUGCCAAACUCUAAAUGGGUUAAUGUGGCUAUGAAAAGAACAACACAAUUUUGUGAGGAGAACAUGAAAAGACAUGAGUGAUGUGACUGUACUAAGUGUCUUAAUUAGGGUUUCUAUUGCUGUGAUCAAACACCAUGACCAAAAAGCAAGUUGGGGAGAAAAGGUUUAUUUGGUGUAUACUCCCAUAUUUCUGUUCAUAUUGAAGGAAAUCAGAACAGGAACUUAAACAGAGCUGGAUCCUGGAGGCAGGAGCUGAUGCAGAGGCCAUGGAGGAGUGCUGCUUUACUGACUUACUUCCCCUGGCUUACUCAGCCUACUUUCUUAUAGAACUCACAGGAUCACCAGCCCACAGAAGGCACCACCACCACCCACCAUGGCCUGGGCUCUCCCCCAUUGCUGACUAAUUGAGAAAAUGACUCACAGCUGGAUCUCAUGGAGGCAUGGGGCCUCCUAAACUGAGGCUCCUUUCUCUCUGAUGACUCUUGUGUCAAGUGGACACACAAAAUCAGCCAGUACACUAGGUACCACACAUUAAAUACUUGAGACAUCCCAUGUGCUCUCAAUGAACUUCAGCUGUCGCUCUCAUGGACGAAAUAUGGAGCUUUAACCUGUGAACCACACUUUACCAUUCUUUAAUUAUUUUUAGAGAAAUUACAGUGAGUUUGCGGGGUCAGAGGACAACUUUUAGAAGUCAGUUAACUCAUUGAACCAUGUGGAUUCUGGGGAUUUAACUCAGGUGGUUAUACAUGCUCUCAAACACCUUUACCAAUGAGCCAUUUUGCUGGCUUUCAGUUAUUGUGUUAAUUAAAGCUCAGAGAAUAUAAAUAAGUUGAUCAAUGCUAAACAGGCAGUAUACAGAAAAUACAGAAUUAGGACAGUUAACUGUAACUAUAAAGAUUCAAUUGAUAUUUAUUAAAUUUCUAUUUAGAAAACAAAAGUAAGUCUGCUACAGCACUAGGGAGAAUGUCCCCUACACCACGCCGGGGCAGCACAACAGAGUUGGCCCUGAAGGUGUAGAUGUGGGAGAUCUGACCCUGAGGAUGUGAAAGUAGGAGGCCUGGUCUAGUCCCUGUGCUACAAAGGGUGAGCUCACCAAGGCAAUGCAGGAGAGCGCACCCUGGUGGUGAGGACAAGGAAGAGCUGGUGUGCUGACCAAUCCUGCAACUACCCAGGCCCAGAACCAGGGUUAUGCAUUGACCCACCCCAAUAUCCAUUCCAUCUGUGAACUGCUGGAGCACAUGAAGGGACCCGUCCUACAGACCCAAAGCCCACAGGAUCUCCGCAACACAGGGCAACAGCAGCAUAACCAAAAGGGGCCCCAGUGAGGGCCCAGCACCGAUAGUGUAGCAGAAACCAGAGGCCUUGGAAGACCAAUGACUCUUUACAAUGAACACUUGCAAGUAAAGAUAUAUGGACAAAAGUGGUUAACUGUGUGACUCACUGUGUCACACUACAGCUUCCAUGGCGAGAUUUUUUUUUUUUUUUUUUUUUUUUUUGCUUUUAUUUCUUCUCUUUUUUCUCUUAAUCUUUAUCUGGCAGGGGUUGGGGGAUGGGGGAAGUAGAGGGUUACAGAGAGCAGAUAUGCAGGGCCAGGAAAUGAAUGGGAUGUAGAUGCAUGAUGUAAAAGACACAAAAAAUA
Peromyscus californicus insignis is the source of this 2499-nucleotide long non-coding RNA. RefSeq lists it as uncharacterized. NCBI's taxonomy places the organism in Eukaryota, Metazoa, Chordata, Mammalia, Rodentia, Cricetidae. The transcript is spliced from 2 exons. The record is from RefSeq and is a predicted model, not a curated record.